Long non-coding RNA from Macrobrachium nipponense, 600 nucleotides. RefSeq lists it as uncharacterized. The transcript has 3 exons. Lineage: Eukaryota; Metazoa; Arthropoda; Malacostraca; Decapoda; Palaemonidae. The record is from RefSeq and is a predicted model, not a curated record.
UCUCCGUCACCCAGACAUCAUUCGUUGUUCAGAGGCUCUUUAGUUAUUACUGCUCAGUGAGGUCGAGUUUUCUUCGCCAUGGCUUCCUACUUCACGCUGCUGCUGUGCAUUUCUUUGGCGGUUGUCACCGUUUCUGGACUGGACUGUCGCCCUUGUGAAUUAGUACUCUGCGGAAAUGCUGUGCCAACUGGGUGCCAUUAUGGGGCAGUACAUAGCCCGUGUAGAUGCUGCUUGGAAUGUGGUAAGGGCGAGGGUGAAGAGUGCGGUGGCCCUAGAGACAUCUUUGGCACCUGCGCAGAAGGGCUGAUCUGUCACGGGGGAUACGGCACGGAGAAACCAGGCCAUUGCAAGGCCCGGCGACCCUACGGCCGGAAAUAAGAAACCUCCGUGUCUUGGCUAAUGACCGUUUCCGAAGAAUGGGGAGGAUGGUUGGUGAACCUGCUUUCUAGCUGAGUGGAUUCGUGGAUAUUUGUACCCUUAUUUCACAGCGGCUGCUGUUUUAGUUACCAAUUGGACGUAAGAUAUCAAAAUUUUUUAUUAGGUAUUAAAAGAUGUCGUUAGGUUUCAAACUGUCGAAACUUAAUAAAAGCAACACAAAUU